CACGUAGGGGGCAAGCGUUGUCCGGAUUUAUUGGGCGUAAGGAGCUCGUAGGCGGCUUAGUAAGUCGGGUGUGAAACCUCCAGGCUCAACCUGGAGACGCCACCCGAUACUGCUGUGGCUAGAGUCCGGUAGGGGAGCGUGGAAUUCCUGGUGUAGCGGUGAAAUGCGCAGAUAUCAGGAGGAACACCAGCGGCGAAGGCGGCGCUCUGGGCCGGUACUGACGCUGAGGAGCGAAAGCGUGGGGAGCAAACAGG
Molecule: ribosomal RNA, 254 nt
Filed under: uncultured bacterium
Lineage: Bacteria
Description: partial 16S ribosomal RNA
Rfam family: Bacterial small subunit ribosomal RNA
Source: RNAcentral